UCUCUCCCCGCUCGUUGCCUUCACGGCGGCGGCCCCCGCGGGGCCGGAGGGUGCCGUCAGGGAGGCCGGCUCGCCGGGCGGCUGAGGAGAGGAGCCUCGGCGCCCGUGUGGUGCGGAGGAGCGGGGCCGGGCGCCGCCGGUUCGCCUGUAGGCAGAGGCUGGAGGGGCCGUGGCCGAGCCGGCGGAGGAGCGGCCGGCCCGGCGGGGCAGCCCCGCCAGAAGGGCCGCUCGGCGCUGCUCCCCGGCCGAGCCCGGGCCGGGGCGGCCUCUGGGCCGCGGCGGCGGCUGCUUGGCGCCUUGUUUGCGGUGCUAACCUGAACCUCUUCGCGGAGGUCUUUACCUGACUUUUGAGUUUCUUCUAGCGCGAACUCGCUGCUUUUAAAUCGGAAGUGGUGAUUAUUCCUGAGCUCCAGAUUGAAAGAGGCAUGUCGGAAUCACUUUCUACACAUCAUCUCUCAAGAACUUAUGAUUGACACCUGAUUUGAAGGAGCAUCACUGAACAAUAGUUAGCUCCCUUUUUCCGCCAGCCUCUUGAGGAGAAAAAAAAAAAAGUGACUGCUUGUUAAUGAUCACAAAUGACUGUCCACUCUCUUGGAAACAGACUCAUCUGUCUCUCCGUUAUGUAAGUGUGCAGCAGAGAGGCUGGGCUACAGCAGUGCAGUAACAUUCGGAGCGGGUAACCAAAGUUAGAGGGAGCUGCUCAGCUGAGCAUUUCUUUUGGAGAAGGAUAGAUUCUGGAGCCAAACUUUAGUCUCCUCAUUUGAAAAUUUUGCCCUGCGUCCUCCUCUUCACUUUAGUUUCACACUCAAAAUCUGGAAUCUGGAAAGACGUGGACUCUUCAUAGGUCGUGUGCAUCUUGAGCAAGCGUGCACAGCCACAUUGGACACCAAGACCUUGUCACAGGGGUCGGCACUGGACAAAGGAAGAAAGUUUUAAAGCCAUCAAGAGAUACAGUGUUAUAUUUUUAAUACUAAUUUCAAAACUUGGGUUGAAGUAUUUACCUCUGAAAAAGUGUUCUCUCCAGUUGUUGGACAAAAUUCUGGAAUUACAAGAUGAGAUUGUAUAGCCCACAUUUUAUAGGAGAUAGUGCAUAAUAUGCUCGUUUAGCCUUGAAAUCUGUUAAAUUGAUUAACUAUGUUAAACAAUAGUUUUAAAUCACUUUUCGCUCUUCUUUCAUCCAUGAGCGCUGUCAAGGAAGAGCUUGGCAUUGAAAUAGCCAUUAUUUAAAUGGUGCCCUCAAGCACAGGAAGAUAUAUGAGACGCAAAAGACGUGUGACUCCAAAAGAACUUACCAACUUUGGACUGCUUUAUAAUUUCUUCAGUUUUUAAUGUGUGUAGCUGAAUGCAAAACUCAUCUUAUUCUCUGGGUAUGCCAAAUCAAUCAAGUGAAUGCUAAUGUCCUGCUAGCUCCAGCAAUUCAGCUGGAAUUGAACUAGCAGAGACAAUGCCCAGAGCUGAGCUGACAUAAUUGUGAAUGGCUCCGAUGCACAAAUACAACAGAAAGAGAAUAGGAACUAGACAUUUUAAUGUCAACUCUCUUAGAAGCACAGAAAAAAAAAAAAAUCAUCAUUGCUCAGAUAGAAACAGGAAAAAAAAAAGCAGAGAGAGAGAAAUCUUAUUUUUCAAGCUCCUGAAGGAAAAAAAAGUGGAGCUCAAAAUAGAAUUCUAUCAGAAAGAAUGGGUUCUUAAUAGUCCUUUAAACUAAAAUGCAUGAAACAGUGAUGAAGUGAUUUUUGCUGCAUCUUUAAGGAGCUUGCUUUUGUCAGUCUGAGGUUAUUUGUAAAAGGGCCUCUGCAGAAAAUUACGGUCUCAAAUUAUGUUUUUUCAGGCUCAGAUUGCAUAGGUAAGAAGCACCAUUGCGAGCAGCAGUGACAAAGACGGCCCCGUGGCACACAGAGAAGCCAGAAGGGGAACGCUGCUCUUCAGGCGCUGCCUUGACGUGAUUUACGGACAGUUUGUGGAGCCUAAGCACAGGACUAGGUUUGUGGCUUGGUUUGCAGGAGUUCUGCUCCAGUGUCUUAGAAAAUCUUCUUUAGGCAUUGCCUCAGUUUGGUUACCUGCAACCUGGAGAUACGCAAAAGCUUCUGGCAUGGUAUUUAUUGUAAAAGGGGUUAUGGUGAGUAAAUAGUUAUUGUUACUAGAUGGGAGGAUCUGUGAAGUUCUGUUGAUGUUAGCCGAAUAAGGGAAGAGGAGGAAGAGGAAGGAUGGAAAUAGCAGAGCAUUUGGCAGGCCUGAAUGUCAGUAGCUUCCAUGAGAUGCUUUCUUGUACGAAAUGUUGGCAUCCCUUUAUUUCGUCAAGGAAAUUGAGGUUUGAAAGUAUCAGAUUCUCCAAGCAGACGUUUGCUUUCCUAUACUGAUGUUGAAACAGGAGGCUCCCGAGCUGUAUGUGCAGAAGCUGUGAUUUAGCAGAGGGGAGAUGUACCAUGAACGUUGUAUGUCUGGUCCUGGGGUGGGAGAAGAACCGUUUCAUCUUUACGUGGUAGCUGAGGACCCAUGAAAGAGAGAGCUUGUUCUGUGUAGGAGGGGAUGCUGUCACUCUGGCACCGCGAUCAGAUGUAGAAGCUUUAUGCUUUCUGGUGAAGCAGGGAUGUAAGCAGUGCUAAUAGCGCAUGCAUGUGAGCAGGGAGUAGCAUACACUGCAGGCAAAAGAGGAGAGCGCGUAGGGUCUGAGAUAUUGCUGCAUUUGAGAUCAAUGUGUCAGAUUUUAGCCUCUUUCUCUUUCAAAGAGAUGUUGACAGUGUUGUAUUGUCUCUCAGGGCCUCAGCUUGGCCAGUCCUAGCGUACUGUCUGGUUUCUUUCAGUUUAGUUUGUGAAGAGCAGGCUGUAUUUAGACUCCUGACUUGCCCAGCCUUCUGUUACUGCAGCUACCGUGCUGCAGCCUUUAGCAGAGUCGCUGCUGUCAACAACUAAGCCACAGCACUCCUGCGCUCUGCCUUUUAUUGGCCUUUAUGGAUCCCUUUAACAGAUACAAAAAUGCAAAGGUGCCACUGCUCCUUAGCACCAUGGUAGUAGCUGCUACAGUGUGCCAGAGGCGUAAUCCUAUGGGAGGGUGCACCAGGAGAAGGGCACCGGGGGGAUCCCUGACCCUGCAACGCUCAGCGUUGCUCCUGGCUCCCUGCAGCGCUGGCAUCGAGGAUGGCAGUGGUGCGAAGCGAAUAUUUGCUCUGUUCGCACCAGCUGCACCUCCUAUCAGUCCUUUGAUGGCAGGGGACAAGCCAUUGUCACUGCGGCUUGGGGCAAGCAGGUACGGAUAAGACGGCACACUUCCUAAUUCCCAAGGGAACGAGGUCUCAGGUGGUAAAUACAGUGGGGUCUGUUGAGGGGCAAGGGAGGGGAUGCUACGUGCUGCAGAGUCUUCUCUGUUCCCCCCUCAUUUCUACAGAAAGCUUCCAUGUACUUCAUACUCUUUAUGUGGGACUUUUUUUUUUAAUACGUGCAAUAUCUAACAUGCUCAUAAUUCUGAGAGUACACUCAUAGUUUCAAAUGUUGAUAUGCUGAUACAUGGAUAACGGUGCCCUAGUUCCCACUCAUAUCUAAAUGUCUACCUUCAGGUAAGAAUAAAGCAGUAGCUGAUUGUUACAACUUCUUUCAUCUGUGCUUAGUUUUGCUAGCUCAUUAUUCUGAGGAAUUUUUCUUGAGAAAAAAAUUACACAUGUUUAGGUCAGUUAUAUCAGUACAAGAGGCUGUGAAGCUGCUAUGAAGGAAUAGAAAAAUCUCUUCAGGAGCGUGAAUUGUCAGUGAUGUACAGUAUCUAUUCACACUCUAAAAGAUUGAAUUAAAAGUGAUAAUUAUGUGCUG
Molecule: long non-coding RNA, 3798 nt
Organism: Aquila chrysaetos chrysaetos
Lineage: Eukaryota; Metazoa; Chordata; Aves; Accipitriformes; Accipitridae
Exons: 4
Source: RefSeq, a predicted model, not a curated record